AUUGAACGCUGGCGGCAGGCCUAACACAUGCAAGCUGAACGAGUGGCGGACGGGUGAGUAAUGCCUGGGAAUCUGCCUGAUGGAGGGGGAUAACUACUGGAAACGGUCGCUAAUACCGCAUAUCAUCGGAUGUGCCCAUAUGGGAUUAGCUAGUAGGUGGGGUAAAGGCUCACCUAGGCGACGAUCCCUAGCUGGUCUGAGAGGAUGACCAGCCACACUGGAACAGGGACGCGGUCCUAACGCCUGCGGUAGUCAGCAGUGGGGAAUAUUGCACGAUGGGCGCAAGCCUGAUGCGGCCAUGCCGCGUGUAUGAAGAGGGCCUUCGGGUUUUAAAGUGCUUUCCGCGGGGAAGCGUUACCCGCAGAAGAAGCACCGGCUAACUCCGUGCCAGCAGCCGCGGUAAUAC
RNAcentral lists this ribosomal RNA (406 nucleotides) under uncultured bacterium. RNAcentral's name for it is "partial 16S ribosomal RNA". It matches the Rfam family "Bacterial small subunit ribosomal RNA", at positions 30 to 526 of the family's 1533-position model. The record is from RNAcentral.